This 447-nucleotide ribosomal RNA is filed under the name uncultured bacterium. RNAcentral's name for it is "bacterial SSU rRNA". It matches the Rfam family "Bacterial small subunit ribosomal RNA", at positions 330 to 793 of the family's 1533-position model. The record is from RNAcentral.
GCCAGACUCCUACGGGAGGCAGCAGUGGGGGAUAUUGCACAAUGGGGGAAACCCUGAUGCAGCGACGCCGCGUGUGGGAAGACGGUCCUCUGGAUUGUAAACCACUGUCCCCAGGGACGAAGAUGACGGUACCUGGGGAGGAAGCUCCGGCUAACUACGUGCCAGCAGCCGCGGUAAUACGUAGGUGGCAAGCGUUGUCCGGAUUUACUGGGUGUAAAGGGCGUGUAGCCGGGUUGACAAGUCAGAUGUGAAAUCCUGCGGCUUAACCGCAGAACUGCAUUUGAAACUGUUGAUCUUGAGUACUGGAGAGGCAGACGGAAUUCCUAGUGUAGCGGUGAAAUGCGUAGAUAUUAGGAGGAACACCAGUGGCGAAGGCGGCUUACUGGACUGUAACUGACGUUGAGGCUCGAAAGCGUGGGGAGCAAACAGGAUUAGAUACCCGUGUAA